ACUAGCUGACGAGUCUUAAAUAGGACGAAAUGUAUGUUAUCCUGAAU
RNAcentral lists this non-coding RNA (47 nucleotides) under Trichobilharzia regenti. The record is from RNAcentral. Lineage: Eukaryota; Metazoa; Platyhelminthes; Trematoda; Strigeidida; Schistosomatidae.